UCAGACGAUGCGUCAUGCAUAUCAAUAAGCGGAGGAAAAGAAACUAACAAGGAUUCCCCUAGUAACGGCGAGUGAAGCGGGAAGAGCUCAAAUUUGAAAUCUUAAAGGGUUUCCCUUUACGAAUUGUAGUUUAAAGAAGUGUUUUCUGUUGAGGUUUUGGUAAAAGUUCUUUGGAAUAGGACAUCAUAGAGGGUGAGAAUCCCGUAUUUGACCUUUACUUUCAACUUUGUGAUACACUUUCAAAGAGUCGGAUUGUUUGGGAAUGCAGUCCAAAAUGGGUGGUAAAUUUCAUCUAAAGCUAAAUAUUGGCGAGAGACCGAUAGCGAACAAGUACCGUGAGGGAAAGAUGAAAAGAACUUUGAAAAGAGAGUUAAACAGUACGUGAAAUUGUCAAAAGGGAAGCGUUUGACACCAGUGUUGUUUUCCUGAAAAUCAAUUAAAGAACUGUUUAUGCUAAGCUGUUUAGACUUUAUCAGCUAUCUGUUUAGUUUUGAGCUUUUCUUUAAUGCACUUUUCAGUUAACAAGUCAACAUCAAUUUCUUUUGCUGUAAAAAAGCUUGAGGAAGGUGGCUUGAGAUUCGUCUUAAGUGUUUAUAGCCUCUUGCCUAUGCAGUCGGAGAGAUUGAGGUCUGCAGCGUAGAUCCUUCGGGGCUAAAUAGCAUUUGUGCUAAGUUAUAGCAUUUUAUAGACAACUUGUUGACUAUGAUUUGUCUUGUAGCUUACUCGCUUAUGUUAUUUUACCUACGCUUAGGAUGUUGAGCGCAUGUCUCUCUCU
Molecule: ribosomal RNA, 775 nt
Filed under: uncultured Neocallimastigales
Lineage: Eukaryota; Fungi; Neocallimastigomycota; Neocallimastigomycetes; Neocallimastigales
Description: partial large subunit ribosomal RNA
Rfam family: Eukaryotic large subunit ribosomal RNA
Source: RNAcentral